CAAAAAUAAAACCAUAUUCUGGUCUCAUUCCUUUGCAUUCAGGAAGCACUUUUCAAAUAUAUCUUCCACGUUCCUGAUUUGAUUUUCAUAGAAUAAUUCUGCUUUGAAUGAAUUUUUAAAUUCCAUUACAGCUUGUUUACUUACCUGAAAUUCUUUCCUCAUCUAAUUUCUUUAUAAUUUCUGCUUUAUCUCAAUCUGUUCUCUUCUCAACUCAAAUUUCUUAUCAUGCAUCUUUCCUGUCAUUUAUCCAUGUUUCCUUGAGCCCUGAGAGUGCAAGGCACAUGCUGGUGAAUAGUUUCUUCUGUUUAUUGCGAUAGUAUUUUAAAAACAAUAUUUCCUUCUAUUUUUUUUCUUUAUGCUAUAGCAUUACUUCAUAGGCUCCCUACUGGUUUGCAUUUAAUUUCCUCAUCCUUAAAUGAUAGGAGAUACAUCAAGAACUAUUUAUUCCAAGAUAAGGCAUUCUGCACACUGUCUGCUUGCAAGCUGUUAAACGCAGGGUCUGGGAUCUGAGCCUCCAAUUUUGAACCAGUUCAAUGAUUCCCAGCAUUCUGGGAAGAGUAGGCAAGAGGAAGUUCCCCUUGGCUGGGAGGUGUUUUGGUUUUCAGUGAAGUCUGUAUGCUGGGGGUCAAACAGUAUGGCUUGACUUCCUUUUAAUUUCUUUGGUAAGAAGUCCUAACCCAAUGAUGAGAAGACCCUCCAUUGCCACCAUGCUCAAGAACUUCUGGUAACGGCCCUUGACCCCCUGACUUCCAGUUAAAAUUUCUUCUGACCUCCUCUGAUUACUUUCCAGCGCCACCCCCUGCAACUUCACAGAAGAAACUGACUCUAAACAGAGGUUGAUCCCCAGCCACUGCUCUGGUGGAACUGAAAUGUUUCCAUGUGGCAGCCCCUGACCACCACCACCCAGUUCAGGACGCUCGAUGGACAGCGCCUAAGCACGGAGGCAACUGUGAGUUGCUGGCCAGGGCCACUCUCUGUUGAAACAGAAAAGUUUCCAUGUGGAAGCCCCCGACCACCACCCAAUUCAGUGUUUCGACAGCUAUUUCCUACUAGCUCCCUGGCCACUAUGGACAACUCUGAAUCUAUUCCACCUGAUUCCUCGUUUGACUGCAUCCUCCGCCACUGGAAGCAAUUUGACCCUGACAAUCUAAAGAGAAAAAGAACUGUGCCCAUUUUUCGCCAAAGCCACGUCUGAGCUGAGAACAGGAGCAUGAAGGCGAACAGGCAGAAAGAAGUGGAGUGUUCCUCCCUCCCUUUCAUCUAUAUUCAUCAGAAGAAUAACUCAGACACUUGACUUUUUCCCAUGGAAUUUGGAGACACAGGGACUGGUACCUGUCUCACGCCUGAAAAAAAAAUGAAUGGAAUGGGCUUUGGGCAGCAGGAGGAGGGCAGGAGAGGGAAGAGAAUGGCCUGAAAUCUCAGAGGUUGAGGUAACAAUGUGUCCAUGUUGCUUUGGAUCAUGUGAGGACCUUCCAAAAGAGUCCCAGCCAUGAGUUGCUUUGAAAUGGACCCCACCUAAGAAGGUACAGGAGCAAGGUGACCCCCAUGGAGAAGUGGACCAGCAGAAGCCAGGAGACAAAGGCAUCAUAAAUAGCUGGGUAAUUGAGGGAUCACCUCCUCAAGGAACUGUGGGAUAGCAGAGCUCAGCAUGGAGAAGAAUGCAUGGGAGGGAGCUCUAAAAAACUCAAAAAUAUACGCAAGAGAAGAUGUCAAAAUGUUCACCAUGACACAGUCACAGCAUACUAAUACCAGGUAAAGCAGCACCACCCACAUGAGACUGUGCUCUUCUCCAAGUUCACCGUCACAUUCCCAGCUAGUGAAUGAAGGAGUAGGUAACCAGAGGACAUGAGGGAGAAGUCGGGCUGUGUCUCCUUCCACGACGUGGAGUAGAGCUGCCCAAGGCAGGCUCGAGCAGAGGGAGGGAAGAACUUUUCAAUUGAAUAAGAGCCCAGCGUUUUGAUGUGAGGCUGGCCUGGAUUGUAUUAUCAUUAUUACCCCCAAAGAAAUAACCAGAAAAGCUUUGGGAAUUUUCUGGGACUUUUUCCAGAGGCAGAGAAAAAAGUACACGAACAAAACAAGUUGGAAAGGGGUGGUGGUGAGGAAGGUUCAAAUUGUCCUCUAUGUGCCCCACAGAGCAAUGCAGUAGCUCCAGCGAUCAACAGAAGGACUGCAUUUGUGGGGGCGCGUCGGAAAUGCUGUGUGACUUCUUUUGUUAUGUAGAUGUCAAGACAGAAACUAGAUGUCGUAUAAUCCCAUCAGUGAUUCUUUUCUACAGAAACUAAUUUACUAAAACAUCACAGGAAAGUCCCUGGACAUGUGAAGAAUUCAUUGAGCAAUCUCUGUCGUGUUCCUCUCAACCUCUCUGCUGGGUUUCCCUCCGCCUUAACUGGCAAAUACACUUUGCCAACAGCAAAAAUGUCAAAAGCAAAUUUCUAGGGCAAAAUAAUACUGACUCUUGAUUGUGAAACUAAAAUUCUUAGAGAAUACAUGAGAACCAAUAGCAACAAGUUGGUUAUUUUCUUUAAAAAAAAAAAAAAAAAAAAGAACUUCACUGUAAAAAAGAUGGAAAAAGCAAUAAAAAAAUAGAGUAAUAAGUCAGCUGGAGCUUGAGGAAAAUCAAGGGAAAGGAAGAGAAUAGAGAUACCCACAAAUUGAGGGUAUACAUAUGAAGGAAAGGAAGGAUGACAGGCUGGCUCCCAGCUGUUAUUUGAAAGUGGCAGCCCUGGGGACAAAAAAAGAAAACGGAAAAUAGUGGAUGGUAUAUUUAAAGAUAAGAUUCGAAGUGGAGUUAAGACUUUUCUGUGGGCCUGGGAAUGGUGUGAGAGGGAUCUCUACAUUUUCCUGGGUCCAGAGUGAGAGGCAGGAGGCAGCUGCAUGGUUGCCCUGACCAGCCCCAAGAAUUUCCUGAUACAAUGAAAGGAAACACAUGAAAGCAAAAUACUGGGCUCUCUGCCAGAUGUGAGGCUGGGCAGCUGCAUCUGUGUAGGAGCACCCAUGCCAUAUCCCCACGUUGCAAUCGGGUGUGCCACUCCCCAGAGACACUGAUGCAUCCCGCCUGUGCCAGGUGGAGAAAGAGAAUGCACAAGGACAACCGCUGCUGACGAUGGAGACUUAAAAGAAGCCUUCAAACAGGACAUCCCUCCGCCUGGACUCAUCACCUGGCUGAGGUUGUUGCUUUGUAAUCAGCAACAGCAAGGAUAGGAAGCAGAAAAGAAAUUCAGAUGAAGAGCUUUGAACAAGACUGUUAGGAAUCACUAGAUUGGAAACUCAGAAUGGGCUGAAUUAAGUGAUUUAUAGAUAGUAGGUAGCGGAUCAGAGCAGAGAUCAGACCAAAAUUACAGGAACAAAUUCUAUUUUCUGCAAGUUGCAUCUUACGGACUCUUGUAGCUGUGAAAGGACUCAGCCUCUGGAGAAUGCAAAGCUUUCUCUUUUUCUCUGUUGGCGGAGACAGGGAAGCAAAGUGGGAUGGAAUGGCUAGGUCCUGACUUCCUUUGUAUGAUUUUCUUAUUCCUCGUCCUUCCUUGAUCACAUCAGUAAAGAGACAGAAAACAGACUAAGCUACUUAAACUACAUUUCUUUGUGAUUUCUUUUUUGUUAUUCCAUUGGAACAAAAAUGUCUCUACCCCAUUCCCUUCUUUUCUAUUACGUUCUUAAAAAGCUUGCAUCAAUUUGUUUAAAGGUUAUACAUCAACCACCCUUAAAUUCCUACCAGUUUAAGAGCUCCCUGGCAGAACCCAGCUUCCACACAGAGUUAUGCGUUCGUUUUUCUGAAUAUUUAAGCAGAAUAAAACCAUUUACAGAUAAAAAUAUGUAACGGCCACCUUCCUUCCUUAUGAAAUUGAGAGGCUGUCAGUUCCAGCUCCCUCUUACUGAAAUGAAUAUUUGGACUACACCAGUAUGAAAAUAAAACGUCUUGACAGUUUCUUGAGGUUAAUGGUGCAGAACUACCUGUAUUUAACAUUCCGACUUCUACUCCAUUAACACGCCUAACUCAGUUUUCUUUAUCUGCCAAGGAGAAAUGGAACAAAAAUCAAUAUCCUACCCAAAGCAUUGAUGAGGUUUUACUCCUCCUCAAAUCUCAAAGGAAUGUCACACCCGUUUAUGGCAAGACUGUCCCCAAACAAAUUGCGGGUUGCCACUGUGUGAAGCAAUGUUGUAUGAAAUCAAGAGUUGAAAUGGUUGCCACCUCAUUAUUUAUUUUCCAUCCUGCAACACAUAUUUCAUGUUCGCGUUAGUGCAUUCAGAUGCCAAGGAGAUAAGUACUUUAACAAUCCUAAGACAGAAGUCUGUGGAGCACUUGUUAAUGGCUUCAAUACAUUUCCUUGUGUUGUAAAUUUCAGCUUUCAUAUCUUUCCAAGAAGUUCCUCCCACUAUUUUGGCAGUGAAUGAACUUGCCAGGAGGCCUGUUCUCCAUCCUCCCUUUCUUCUUACUUCAUCUCCCACCCGGACCCAGGCCCAGCCUUCCUGAGGCACAAGCUGCACACCAGGAUCCCUCCCCGGCUGCCGGCACACUCUGGGAGCCUUGCCCACUCAUGCCCAAGGAAAAGGGCCAGAGAAAGGCUGGUGCUGCUGUGGGAAGGAGGUGGUGGCUCCUCCUUGGCUACAUUGCUCUAGGCUGAUUCUCUGCCUCUCAAAGUGGAAAGUGUGUUCGCCUAGAUCCUUCUCAGCCUCCAGUGGCCAUUCAUACUUCAACUGCUUCUUGAACCUCAGCUUCUACUUCCCUGAGUUGCACUGGCUGCUUAGCUGUCCUAUUCCUGCCCCAGCACUUAUCUGAUUCUUGCUAUUUAUAGAACUUCCCCCUACCCCAACCUAAGGAUGCUCUUGGUUCUAGUCAGUUCUUCCUGCCAUUUCACCCUUGCCGUUUAAACACCAGGGGCAUGUACCCUGUGUUCUGAGUGUACACUUUAUCUGUUAGAUCAGUGGUCAGCAAACGUUUCCUGUAAAAGGCCAGAGAGUAAGUCUUUUUUGUUGUUGUUGAGACGGAAUCUUGCUCUGUUGCCCAGGCUGGAGUGCAAUCGUGCAAUCUUGGCUCACUGCAACCUCCGCCUCCGAGGUUCAACUGAUUCUCCUGCCUCAGCCUCCCAAGUAGCUGGGAUUACAGGCAUGCACCACCACACCCAGAUAAUUUUUGUAUUUUUAGUAGAGACGGGGUUUCACCAUGUUGGCCAGGCUGGUCUCGAACUCCUGACCUCAAGUGAUUCACCCGCCUCUGCCUCCCAAAGUGCUUAGAUUACAGGUGUGAGCCACUGCGCCUGGCCAAGAGUGAGUAUCUUAAGCAUUAUAGACCAUGCCAUCUCUAUCCACUCAGUCCUGCCUUUGGAGUGUGAACGCCACCUUAGCCCGUAAGUAAACAAAUGAGCCUGGCUGUGUUCCAAGAAAAUCUUAUUUAUGGACACCUGAAAUUUGAAUUUCAUCUAAAUUUCACCUUGCAC
This is a long non-coding RNA of Papio anubis (olive baboon), 5432 nucleotides long. The record is from Ensembl. Lineage: Eukaryota; Metazoa; Chordata; Mammalia; Primates; Cercopithecidae.